RNAcentral lists this long non-coding RNA (443 nucleotides) under Mustela putorius furo (domestic ferret). RNAcentral describes it as "lncRNA (ENSMPUG00000029237.1)". Lineage: Eukaryota; Metazoa; Chordata; Mammalia; Carnivora; Mustelidae. The record is from RNAcentral.
UGUAGGUGAUGCCUUUUGUAGAGGUCAGCUUCCCAGUGCACAGAGCAGGGCUGAGGAGAGCAGAGAAUGGAUCUGGGAGCAAAUGGAGAAUAAUCAGCAUGAAUUUCAAAAGGAAUCUGUGGUUUAAGAAUGAAUAUGUAGAAGUUUUGUUUGAGUGAUUUUCAUUUACAAUGAGAUAAACAUUUGGUGAAAAGAAAUGUGAUUUUCUGAAACACAGCUGACGCACUUCAUUCCCCACAGUGAUGUCUCCUUAAAUGCCUUUCAGUCUUUCUUUGGCUACUUGCAUCAGAAUAUGUGGGAAACUUCCACACCUGUCUAGAUCAGCUCAUGAAACCUCUUGGAAAGAGAAAGAUGUGCAUAACUACUCUGUCUCCCAGCUCUUCUGGAACCCACUAAGUGAUGAGAACCUCACUUCAUCCCGAGGGAGCUUCUUCCAUUUUUAG